Molecule: ribosomal RNA, 387 nt
Filed under: uncultured bacterium
Lineage: Bacteria
Description: bacterial SSU rRNA
Rfam family: Bacterial small subunit ribosomal RNA
Source: RNAcentral
AUUGAACGCUGGCGGCAUGCCUUACACAUGCAAGUCGAACGGCAGCACGGGGGCAACCCUGGUGGCGAGUGGCGAACGGGUGAGUAAUACAUCGGAACGUGCCCCGUAGCGGGGGACAACCAGUCGAAAGACUGGCUAAUACCGCAUACGCUCCACGGAGGAAAGCAGGGGAUCGCAAGGCCUUGCACUAUGGGAGCGGCCGAUGCCCGAUUAGCUAGUUGGUGAGGUAAAGGCUCACCAAGGCAACGAUCGGUAGCUGGUCUGAGAGGACGACCAGCCACACUGGGACUGAGACACGGCCCAGACUCCUACGGGAGCAGCAGUGGGGAAUUUGGCAAUGGGCGCAAGCCUGAUCCAGCCAUGCCGCGUGCGGGAAGAAGGCCUGGU